GGAAGUGUGCCCGAAAGUUAA
This 21-nucleotide transfer RNA is filed under the name Isthmohyla debilis. RNAcentral's name for it is "partial tRNA-Ile". The record is from RNAcentral. Lineage: Eukaryota; Metazoa; Chordata; Amphibia; Anura; Hylidae.